UACGGGGGGGGUAAGCGUUGUCCGGAAUCAUUGGGCGUAAAGAGCUCGUAGGCGGCUCAGUAAGUCGGGUGUGAAACCCUCAGGCUCAACCUGGGGACGCCACCCGAUACUGCUGUGGCUAGAGUCCAGUAGAGGAGUGUGGAAUUCCCGGUGUAGCGGUGAAAUGCGCAGAUAUCGGGAGGAACACCAACGGCGAAGGCAGCACUCUGGGCUGGAACUGACGCUGAGGAGCGAAAGCGUGGGUAGCAAACAGG
This 254-nucleotide ribosomal RNA is filed under the name uncultured bacterium. RNAcentral describes it as "partial 16S ribosomal RNA". It matches the Rfam family "Bacterial small subunit ribosomal RNA", at positions 524 to 776 of the family's 1533-position model. The record is from RNAcentral.